ACGCACGCUGGCGGCGUGCUUCACACCUGCCAGUCGAACGGAAAGGCCCUGCUUUUGUGGGGUGCUCGAGUGGCGAACGGGUGAGUAACACGUGAGUAACCUGCCCUUGACUUUGGGAUAACUUCAGGAAACUGGGGCUAAUACCGGAUAGGAGCUCCUGCUGCAUGGUGGGGGUUGGAAAGUUUCGGCGGUUGGGGAUGGACUCGCGGCUUAUCAGCUUGUUGGUGGGGUAGUGGCUUACCAAGGCUUUGACGGGUAGCCGGCCUGAGAGGGUGACCGGCCACAUUGGGACUGAGAUACGGCCCAGACUCCUACGGGAGGCAGCAGUGGGGAAUAUUGCACGAUGGGCGGAAGCCUGAUGCAGCAACGCCGCGUGCGGGAUGACGGCCUUCGGGUUGUAAACCGCUUUCGCCUGUGACGAAGCGUGAGUGACGGUAAUGGGUAAAGAAGCACCGGCUAACUACGUG
This 467-nucleotide ribosomal RNA is filed under the name uncultured bacterium. RNAcentral's name for it is "partial 16S ribosomal RNA". It matches the Rfam family "Bacterial small subunit ribosomal RNA", at positions 29 to 507 of the family's 1533-position model. The record is from RNAcentral.